RNAcentral lists this ribosomal RNA (495 nucleotides) under uncultured bacterium. Its description in RNAcentral is "bacterial SSU rRNA". It matches the Rfam family "Bacterial small subunit ribosomal RNA", at positions 903 to 1397 of the family's 1533-position model. The record is from RNAcentral.
AAAGGAAUAGACGGGGACCCGCACAAGCGGUGGAGCAUGUGGUUUAAUUCGAAGCAACGCGAAGAACCUUACCAGGUCUUGACAUCCCAAUGCCCGGCUUAGAGAUAAGUCUUUCCCUUCGGGGACAUUGGUGACAGGUGGUGCAUGGUUGUCGUCAGCUCGUGUCGUGAGAUGUUGGGUUAAGUCCCGCAACGAGCGCAACCCUUAACCUUAGUUGCCAGUAUUCAGUUAGGCACUUUAAGGUGACUGCCGGUGACAAACCGGAGGAAGGUGGGGAUGACGUCAAAUCAUCAUGCCCCUUAUGACCUGGGCUACACACGUGCUACAAUGGACGGUACAGAGGGUUGCCAACCCGCGAGGGGGAGCUAAUCCCAUAAAACCGUUCCCAGUUCGGAUUGUAGGCUGCAACUCGCCUGCAUGAAGCCGGAAUCGCUAGUAAUCGUGGAUCAGCAUGCCACGGUGAAUACGUUCCCGGGUCUUGUACACACCGCCCGU